Molecule: ribosomal RNA, 400 nt
Filed under: uncultured bacterium
Lineage: Bacteria
Description: bacterial SSU rRNA
Rfam family: Bacterial small subunit ribosomal RNA
Source: RNAcentral
GAAUAUUGGACAAUGGGCGCAAGCCUGAUCCAGCCAUGCCGCGUGAGUGAUGAAGGCCUUAGGGUUGUAAAGCUCUUUCACCGGUGAAGAUAAUGACGGUAACCGGAGAAGAAGCCCCGGCCAACUUCGUGCCAGCAGCCGCGGUAAUACGAAGGGGGCUAGCGUUGUUCGGAAUUACUGGGCGUAAAGCGCACGUAGGCGGACUAGUAAGUCAGGGGUGAAAUCCCGGAGCUCAACUCCGGAACUGCCUUUGAUACUGGUAGUCUAGAGUCCGAGAGAGGUGAGUGGAACUCCUAGUGUAGAGGUGGAAUUCGUAGAUAUUAGGAAGAACACCAGUGGCGAAGGCGGCUCACUGGCUCGGUACUGACGCUGAGGUGCGAAAGCGUGGGGAGCAAACAGG